AGUGAGCGCUGGCGGUAGGCCUAACACAUGCAAGUCGAACGGCAGCACAGUAAGAGCUUGCUCUUACGGGUGGCGAGUGGCGGACGGGUGAGGAAUACAUCGGAAUCUACUUUUUCGUGGGGGAUAACGUAGGGAAACUUACGCCAAUACCGCAUACGACCUACGGGUGAAAGCAGGGGAUCUUCGGACCUUGCGCGAUUGAAUGAGCCGAUGUCGGAUUAGCUAGUUGGCGGGGUAAAGGCCCACCAAGGCGACGAUCCGUAGCUGGUCUGAGAGGAUGAUCAGCCACACUGGAACUGAGACACGGUCCAGACUCCUACGGGAGGCAGCAGUGGGGAAUAUUGGACAAAGGGCGCAAGCCUGAUCCAGCCAUACCGCGUGGGUGAAGAAGGCCUUCGGGUUGUAAAGCCCUUUUGUUGGGAAAGAAAAGCAGCAGGUUAAUACCCCGCUGUUCUGACGGUACCCAAAGAAUAAGCACCGGCUAACUUCGUG
This 492-nucleotide ribosomal RNA is filed under the name uncultured bacterium. RNAcentral's name for it is "partial 16S ribosomal RNA". It matches the Rfam family "Bacterial small subunit ribosomal RNA", at positions 29 to 507 of the family's 1533-position model. The record is from RNAcentral.